GAUGAACGCUGGCGGCGUGCCUAAUACAUGCAAGUCGAGCGAACGGACGAGAAGCUUGCUUCUCUGGUGUUAGCGGCGGACGGGUGAGUAACACGUGGAUAACCUACCUAUAAGACUGGGAUAACUUCGGGAAACCGGAGCUAAUACCGGAUAAUAUUUUGAACCGCAUGGUUCAAAAGUGAAAGACGGUCUUGCUGUCACUUAUAGAUGGAUCCGCGCUGCAUUAGCUAGUUGGUAAGGUAACGGCUUACCAAGGCAACGAUGCAUAGCCGACCUGAGAGGGUGAUUCGCCACACUGGAAAUGAGGAACGGGCCCGACUCCCACGGGAGGCAGCAGUAGGGAAUCUUCCCCAAAGGGCGAAAGCCCGACGGAGCAACGCCGGGGGAGUGAUGUAGGUUUUCGGAUCGUAAAACUCUGUUAUUAGGGAAGAAAAAAUGUGUAAGUAACUUUGCACAUCUUGACGGGACCUAAUCAGAAAGCCACGGCUAACUUCCUG
This 497-nucleotide ribosomal RNA is filed under the name uncultured bacterium. RNAcentral describes it as "partial 16S ribosomal RNA". It matches the Rfam family "Bacterial small subunit ribosomal RNA", at positions 28 to 507 of the family's 1533-position model. The record is from RNAcentral.